UACGUAGGCAGCAAGCGUUGUUCGGAAUUACUGGGCGUAAAGAGUGUGUAGGCGGUUCGCUAAGUUCGGUGUGAAAUCUCCCGGCUUAACUGGGAGGGUGCGCCGGAAACUGGCGGGCUUGAGUAUGGGAGAGGAAAGCGGAAUUCCUGGUGUAGCGGUGAAAUGCGUAGAUAUCAGGAGGAACAUCUGUGGUGUAGACGGCUUUCUGGACCAUCACUGACGCUGAGACACGAAAGCGUGGGUAGCAAACAGG
RNAcentral lists this ribosomal RNA (253 nucleotides) under uncultured bacterium. Its description in RNAcentral is "partial 16S ribosomal RNA". It matches the Rfam family "Bacterial small subunit ribosomal RNA", at positions 524 to 776 of the family's 1533-position model. The record is from RNAcentral.